This 506-nucleotide ribosomal RNA is filed under the name uncultured bacterium. Its description in RNAcentral is "partial 16S ribosomal RNA". It matches the Rfam family "Bacterial small subunit ribosomal RNA", at positions 29 to 523 of the family's 1533-position model. The record is from RNAcentral.
AGUGAACGCUGGCGGUAGGCCUAACACAUGCAAGUCGAACGGCAGCACAGGAGAGCUUGCUCUCUGGGUGGCGAGUGGCGGACGGGUGAGGAAUACAUCGGAAUCUACUUUUUCGUGGGGGAUAACGUAGGGAAACUUACGCUAAUACCGCAUACGACCUACGGGUGAAAGCAGGGGAUCUUCGGACCUUGCGCGAUUCAAUGAUCAGAUGUCGGAUUAGCUAGUUGGCGGGGUAAAGGCCCACCAAGGCGACGAUCCGUAGCGGGUCUGAGAGGAUGAUCAGCCACACUGGAACUGAGACACGGUCCAGACUCCUACGGGAGGCAGCAGUGGGGAAUAUUGGACAAUGGGCGCAAGCCUGAUCCAGCCAUACCGCGUGGGUGAAGAAGGCCUUCGGGUUGUAAAGCCCUUUUGUUGGGAAAGAAAUCCAGCUGGUUAAUACCCGGUUGGGAUGACGGUACCCAAAGAAUAAGCACCGGCUAACUUCGUGCCAGCCGCCGCCGUAA